GUGUGUCAUGUCGGUGCUGUCGGACUGAUGUGUUUGUUUUUCGGUCAAGUUAUAUGCGCGGAGCAGAACAGUCUUGUAACUCUUUGGAGACAUAGUUUACCUAACAGGUGUCUUUUUCUGAUUUCUCAAAGUUUCGUCUUACUUCACCCAUGUUGAGUGUUCUUUCCGUUAGUAUGCCUACUAUACUAUAUUGAGCUCUUUGUUUUUUCAAACUCUGGGUUUUCUUAAUAUGUUGGUCUGUCUCAUAGGCCGGGACGUGUGCACAGCACAGGGCUCGCUUGCUUAUUGACCUGUGCUUAGGCCUUUCCAUCCGCGGCCGUGGUUCUCCAGUCUCCACCUACGACCGACGGAGUUAUCAAAAGGCUUGAGAGAUUCUUCCAGUCUUCUUAUAUCUGGAGCAGGGGGAGUGAGUGAGAUCGCCGGGUUAUAUCUUUUUUUUUUGAGAAAAGCUAGAUGGGCUGACCCAACGUUGGCUUUUUCUUCUAUGUUUUUCUUUUCUUUUUUCGCAUUUAUGUUUUUACAUCAUUUUUUUCUCUACACGUCUAUUUUUUCAGUAGUGUAUAUUUUUUAUAACCAUUUACUGAAAAUGUCACGAACAUAUUUUGGAAACACGUGGACAUAUUAAGAAAAGUCACGUACAUUUUUUAAUUAAACGGACAUUUUCUCUACAUUGUAUAAAUAAUUUUUAAAACCUAUCGUGAACAUUCUUUUGAAACACGUGACCAUUUUCAAAUGCCAUGAGCAUUGUUUUGAAUGAUAACAACAUUUUUUAGAAGUUCCGUGGACGUUCCUUUUACACAGAAAAAGCUUCCAAUCAACCGACUGAUCUUCUCGCUGCAUCCGCCGCUCGCGAGGCCGUCAGAUUGCGACCCACAUAUCUGUUGGAUCAUGGUUGCGCGUGCACCUUGGGACCACUUACCACUUGCCUUUGGCGAUAGCAGGCAACGAUGACCACAUAUGCGAGGCAACGAUGUUGCAAAAACAGAAAUCAAUCGUUCGAUCCCCUCAACGAAUCUAGCACCUACUCCCUCGUUUUCUCGCCUUCGGUCCCCUCGAUCUCAUCUCUCUCCCCACGACGCUCUAACACUUUCUCCCUUCAAUCUGCUUCUAAAAUCAUCCACGGCCCAAGCUUCAGUCAUGGCGGACGGGGGCGUCAAUCUGCUUCGCAAAUCAUCCAUAGCCCAAGCUACAACCAUAGCGAACAGUGGUGCUGAUAUGUUUCCCAAAUCAUCCAUGGGCCAAGCUCCAGCAAUGGUGAACGGCGGUGUCAAUCUGCUUCCUAGAUUAUCCACAACGCAAGCUCUAGCCAUGGCGAAAGGAGAAGAUAGAAGAUAUUUGUUUUUGCAACAAAGGGGUUGUUGUAACCACAACAAGGAUCUUUUUGCAAAAGGGCCCUAUUGCAGCAUAAAAAAAACUCAUAAAAAUGAUUCUGUAACAAGACCUCUGUUGCGAAAUUUUUCUACAAAAAGACCUUUAUUGCAGAAAAACUCGUAAAUGAUUCUGCAACAAGACCUUUGUUAAGAAAAAAAAAAAUCUACAACGAGCCCUCCGUUGCAGAAAAACUCACAAAAAUGAUUCCGAACAAGACCAUUGUUGUGAAAAUUUUCUACCAUGAGACCUCUGUUGCAGAAAAACUAAUAAAAAUGAUUCGGCAAUAGGACCUUUUUGCGAAAAAAUUCUGAAACAAGACCUUUGUUGCAAAAAAAAUUGUAACAAGACCUUGGCUACAGAAAAUACUGCAACAACACACUUGUUGCAAAGAUGACCUGCCACAUAGGUAGAUCAAACGCCAUCCGCAGCUCCAUCCAAUGGUCACGGAUGCGGCGGAUCUUUUUAUAUUAUCGGCCAGCAGACGCGUAGCGUCGCCCGUUACACCGCAUGAACAUUUUUUAAAUGUGCGGCGAACGUUUAUAAAAGUUUAAGUAAAUUAAUUUUGUGGAAUAUUUGUAUUUAUAAUAUUUUUAAAUAUAAAUAAAAGUAAAAAAGGAAAUCAAAAAGAAGAAAGUACCUGCAUAACAAACCUAGACCGUCCUAUUGGGUUGGCCCUCUCUAGCCUUGCUUGAGGCGAGGCAUCUAACUCGUCUGAGGAGAUGUAUAGACGCGCCCGAGCGAGAGAGCUAACUAACGGUUACCCCUUGGGGGCCUCCAACAAUGGUCACUUUUAUUGCUUGAGAGCGUGUCAAAUGGUGCACCCAUUCGUCGUCAUAUGUCAUGUGUUGGGCUCUCUCUCUGUAUUUCAGCCUUUUUAUUUUUUUGUAUGCGUUUUCACGUCUUUAGAUGGGUUUUUCUUCUUUUUCGGCUUCUCGGCUUUUCGGCUUUUGCCUCGUUUUCCUUAAGUUUUGAAGGAUUUUUUUUUGUUUUUCGGUUUUGCCUAGCUGUCUUUAGCUGUCCCGAGUGGCACAAGUUGGUUCCCUAACCAAAUUCCCUAGUCCAAAGAUUCGGUUCCGAAAAUGAAGACCGAAAGGUUCCAAAGACUCAGUAUUUUCUGCUUCAUCGCCCCUAUAUAAUACGAAGCCAAGGGAAAAAUCUAGACCGGCUCAAUAGGAUUAACAAGAUCGCACAUUGUAACCCCAUUGUUCAUACAAGAGAGANNNNNNNNNNNNNNNNNNNNNNNNNNNNNNNNNNNNNNNNNNNNNNNNNNNNNNNNNNNNNNNNNNNNNNNNNNNNNNNNNNNNNNNNNNNNNNNNNNNNNNNNNNNNNNNNNNNNNNNNNNNNNNNNNNNNNNNNNNNNNNNNNNNNNNNNNNNNNNNNNNNNNNNNNNNNNNNNNNNNNNNNNNNNNNNNNNNNNNNNNNNNNNNNNNNNNNNNNNNNNNNNNNNNNNNNNNNNGGUUAAACCUCCAUCAUGUGAAACUCCGCACCUUCAUCAACUAUGUGUGCAUUGCCUUCACAAAAUUACCAACCCAUGAGUAUUGCCGCGCAAUCCCCACGAUAAGGUGUAAACCCAUGAGCGUCGGAAAUAUGUAAACAUUGGUUGUGGGCCAAUAGAUCAGUAAUGGUCUAAUGGAUACCAAGUUGGAGCUCAAACCAUGGAGUUAAUCACGCCAUCAAUAAAUAGAUGAUGUGGUGUUGGGGAACGUAGUAAUUUCAAAAAAAAUUCUACGCACACGCAAGAUCAUGGUGAUGCAUAGCAACGAGAGGGGAGAGUGUGAUCUACGUACCCUUGUAGACCGACAGCGGAAGCGUUAGCACAACGCGGUUGAUAUAGUCGUACGUCUUCACGGCCCGACCGAUCAAGCACCAAAACUACGGCACCUCCGAGUUUUAGCACACGUUCAGCUCGAUGACGAUCCCCGGACUCCGAUCCAGCAAAGUGUCGGGGAAGAGUUCCGUCAGCACGACGGCGUGGUGACGAUCUUGAUGUACUAUUGUCGCAGGGCUUCGCCUAAGCACCGCUACAAUAUUAUCGAGGAUUAUGGUGGAAGGGGGCACCGCACACGGCUAAGAAUAUGAUCACGUGGAUCAACUUGUGUGUCUAGGGGUGCCCCCUGCCCCCGUAUAUAAAGGAUCAAGGGGAGGAGGCCGGCCGGCCCCUAUGGCGCGCCAAGGAGGAAUCCUCCUCCUAGUAGGAGUAGGACUCCUACUAGGAGGGGGAAAGAAGUGGGGAGGGAGAAGGAAAGGGGGGCGCCGCCCCCCCUUUCCUAGUCCAAUUCGGACCGGGGGGAGGAGGCGCGUGGCCCACCUUUGGCUGCCCCUCCCUCUCUCCACUAAGGCCCAUAUGGCCCAUUANNNNNNNNNNNNNNNNNNNNNNNNNNNNNNNNNNNNNNNNNNNNNNNNNNNNNNNNNNNNNNNNNNNNNNNNNNNNNNNNNNNNNNNNNNNNNNNNNNNNNNNNNNNNNNNNNNNNNNNNNNNNNNNNNNNNNNNNNNNNNNNNNNNNNNNNNNNNCCGGUUUUCUCCGAAAUCACCCGGAACACUUCCGGUGUCCGAAUAUAGCCAUCCAAUAUAUCAAUCUUUAUGUCUCGACCAUUUCGAGACUCCUCGUCAUGUCCGUGAUCAUAUUCGGGACUCCGAACUAACUUCGGUACAUCAAAACUCAUAAACUCAUAAUAUAACUAUCAUCGAAACCUUAAGCGUGCGGACCCUAUGGGUUCGAGAACAAUGUAGACAUGACCGAGACACGUCUCCGGUCAAUAACUAAUAGCGGAACCUGGAUGCUCAUAUUGGCUCCUACAUAUUCUAUGAAGAUCUUUAUCGGUCAGACCGCAUAACAACAUAUGUUGUUCCCUUUGUCAUCGGUAUGUUACUUGCCCGAGAUUCGAUCGUCGGUAUCUCAAUACCUAGUUCAAUAUCGUUACCGACAAGUCUCUUUACUCGUUCCGUAAUACAUCAUCUCGCAACUAACUCAUUAGUUGCAAUGCUUGCAAGGCUUAUGUGAUGUGCAUUACCGAGAGGGCCCAGAGAUACCUCUCCGACAAUAGGAGUGACAAAUCCUAAUCUCGAAAUAAGCCAACCCAACAUGUACCUUUGGAGACACCUGUCGAGUACCUUUAUAAUCACCCAUUUACAUUGUGACGUUUGGUAGCACACAAAGUGUUCCUCCGACAAACGGGAGUUGCAUAAUCUCAUAGUCAUAGGAACAUGUAUAAGUUAUGAAGAAAAGCAAUAGCAACAUACUAAACGAUCGGGUGCUAAGCUAAUGGAAUGGGUCAUGUCAAUCAGAUCAUUCACCUAAUGAUGUGAUCCCGUUAAUCAAAUAACAACUCUUUGUUCAUGGUUAGGAAACAUAACCAUCUUUGAUUAACGAGCUAGUCAAGUAGAGGCAUACUAGUGACACUCCGUUUGUCUAUGUAUUCACACAUGUAUUAUGUUUCCGGUUAAUACAAUUCUAGCAUGAAUAAUAAACAUUUAUCAUGAUAUAAGGAAAUAAAUAAUAACUUUAUUAUUGCAUCUAGGGCAUAUUUCCUUCGGUCUCCCACUUGCACUAGAGUCAAUAAUCUAGAUUACACAGUAAUGAUUCUAACACCCAUGGAGCCUUGGUGCUGAUCAUGUUUUGCUCGUGGAAGAGGCUUAGUCAACGGGUCUGCAACAUUCAGAUCCGUAUGUAUCUUUCAAAUCUCUAUGUCUCCCACCUGGACUAGAUCCCGGAUGGAAUUGAAGCGUCUCUUGAUGUGCUUGGUUCUCUUGUGAAAUCUGGAUUCCUUUGCCAAGGCAAUUGCACCAGUAUUGUCACAAAAGAUUUUCAUUGGACCCGAUGCACUAGGUAUGACACCUAGAUCGGAUAUGAACUCCUUCAUCCAGACUCCUUCAUUUGCUGCUUCCGAAGCAGCUAUGUACUCCGCUUCACAUGUAGAUCCCGCCACAACGCUUUGUUUAGAACUGCACCAACUGACAGCUCCACCGUUUAAUGUAAACACAUAUCCGGUUUGCGAUUUAGAAUCGUCCGGAUCAGUGUCAAAGCUUGCAUCAACGUAACCUUUUACGGUGAGCUCUUUGUCACCUCCAUAUAUGAGAAACAUAUCCUUAGUCCUUUUCAGGUAUUUCAGGAUGUUCUUGACCGCUGUCCAGUGAUCCACUCCUGGAUCACUUUGGUACCUCCCUGCUAGACUUAUAGCAAGGCACACAUCAGGUCUGGUACACAACAUUGCAUACAUGAUAGAGCCUAUGGCUGAAGCAUAGGGAACAUCUUUCAUUUUCUCUCUAUCUUCUGAAGUGGUCGGGCAUUGAGUCUUACUCAACUUCACACCUUGUAACACAGGCAAGAACAAUUUCUUUGCUUGAUCCAUUUUGAACUUCUUCAAAACUUUGUCAAGGUAUGUGCUUUGUGAAAGUCCAAUUAAGCGUCUUGAUCUAUCUCUAUAGAUCUUAAUGCCUAAUAUGUAAGCAACUUCACCGAGGUCUUUCAUUGAAAAACUCUUAUUCAAGUAUCCCUUUAUGCUAUCCAGAAAUUCUAUAUCAUUUCCAAUUAGUAAUAUGUCAUCCACAUAUAAUAUCAGAAAUGCUACAGAGCUCCCACCCACUUUCUUGUAAAUACAAGCUUCUCCAAAAGUCUGUAUAAAACCAAAUGCUUUGAUCACACUAUCAAAGCGUUUAUUCCAACUCCGAGAGGCUUGCACCAGUCCAUAAAUGGAUCGCUGGGGCUUGCACACUUUGUUAGCUCCCUUUGGAUCGACAAAACCUUCUGGUUGCAUCAUAUACAACUCUUCUUCCAGAAAUCCAUUCAGGAAUGCAGUUUUGACAUCCAUCUGCCAAAUUUCAUAAUCAUAAAAUGCGGCAAUCGCUAACAUGAUUUGGACAGACUUAAGCAUCGCUACGGGUGAGAAGGUCUCAUCAUAGUCAAUCCCUUGAACUUGCCGAAAACCUUUUGCGACAGGUCGAGCUUUGUAGACAGUAAUAUUACCGUCAGCGUCAGUCUUCUUCUUGAAGAUCCAUUUAUUCUCAAUUGCUUGCCGAUCAUCGGGCAAGUCAACCAAAGUCCAUACUUUGUUCUCAUACAUGGAUCCCAUCUCAGAUUUCAUGGCUUCAAGCCAUUUUGCGGAAUCUGGGCUCACCAUCGCUUCUUCAUAGUUCGUAGGUUCAUCAUGAUCUAGUAGCAUGACUUCCAGAACAGGAUUACCGUACCACGCUGGCGCGGAUCUCACUCUGGUUGAUCUACGAGGUUCAGUAGUAUCUUGUUCUGAAGUUUCAUGAUCAUCAUCAUUAGCUUCCUCACUGACUGGUGUAGGUGUCACAGAAAUAGGUUUUUGUGAUGUACUACUUUCCAAUAAGGGAGUAGGUACAGUUACUGUUGGGGGAACGCAGUAAUUUCAAAAAUUUUCCUACGCACACGCAAGAUCAUGGUGAUGCAUAGCAACGAGAGGGGAGAGUGUUGUCUACGUACCCACGCAGACCGACUGCGGAAGCGUUGACGCAACAUAGAGGAAGUAGUCGUAUGUCUUCCCGAUCCGACCGAUCCAAGCACUGUUACUCCGGCACCUCCGAGUUCUUAGCACACGUACAGCUCGAUGACGAUCCCCGGGCUCCGAUCCAGCAAAGCGUCGGGGAGGAGUUCCGUCAGCACGACGGCAUGGUGACGAUCUUGAUGUUCUACUGUCGCAGGGCUUCGCCUAAGCACCGCUACAAUAUGAUCGAGGUGGAAUAUGGUGGCAGGGGGCACCACACACGGCUAAGGAACGAUCUCAAGGAUCAACUUGUGUGUCUAGAGGUGCCCCUGCCCCCAUAUAUAAAGGAUCCAAGGGGGAGGGGGCGGCCGGCCAGGAGGAGGGUGCAGGAGGAGUCCUACUCCUACCGGGAGUAGGACUCCCCCCCAAUCCUAGUUGGAAUAGGAUUCCCCGAGGGGGAAAGAGAGAAAGGGGGGCCGGCCACCUCUCCUUGUCCUAAUAGGACUGGGGGAGGGGGGAGUGAAGGAAAUAUGCCCUAGAGGCAAUAAUAAAGUUAUUAUUUAUUUCCUUAUAUCAUGAUAAAUGUUUAUUAUUCAUGCUAGAAUUGUAUUAACCGGAAACAUAAUACAUGUGUGAAUACAUAGACAAACAGAGUGUCACUAGUAUGCCUCUACUUAACUAGCUCGUUGAUCAAAGAUGGUUAAGUUUCCUAGCCACUGACAUGGAUUGUCAUUGGAUUAACGGGAUCACAUCAUUAGGAGAAUGAUGUGAUUGACAUGACCCAUUCCGUUAGCUUAGCACACGAUCGUUUAAGUAUGUUGCUAUUGCUUUCUUCAUGACUUAUACAUGUUCCUAUGACUAUGAGAUUAUGCAACUCCCGUUUACCGGAGGAACACUUUGUGUGCUACCAAACGUCACAACGUAACUGGGUGAUUAUAAAGGUGCUCUAUAGGUGUCUCCGAAGGUACUUGUUGGGUUGGCGUAUUUCGAGAUUAGGAUUUGUCACUCCGAUUGUCGGAGAGGUAUCUCUGGACCCUCUCGGUAAUGCACAUCACAUAAGCCUUGCAAGCAUUGCAACUAAUGAGUUAGUUGUGAGAUGAUGUAUUAUGGAACGAGUAAAUAGACUUGACGGUAAUGAGAUUGAACUAGGUAUUGAAAUACCAACGAUCGAAUCUCGGGCAAGUAACAUACCGAUGACAAAAGGAACAACGUAUGUUGUUAUGCGGUCUGACCGAUAAAGAUCUUCGUAGAAUAUGUAGAAGCCAAUAUGGGCAUCCAGGUCCCGCUAUUGGUUAUUGACCGGAGACGUGUCUCGGUCAUGUCUACAUUGUUCUCGAACCCGUAGGGUCCGCAUGCUUAAGGUUACGAUGACAGUUAUAUUAUGAGUUUAUGCAUUUUGAUGUACCGAAGGUUGUUCGGAGUCCCGGAUAUGAUCACGGACAUGACGAGGAGUCUCGAAAUGGUCGAGACAUAACGAUGAUAUAUUGGAAGCCUAUGUUUGAAUAUCGGAAGUGUUCCGGGUGAAAUCGGGAUUUUACCGGAGUACCGGGAGGUUACCGGAACCCCCCCAGGAGCUAUAUGGGCCUUAGUGGGCUUUAGUGGAAAGGAGAAAGGGGCAGCCCAAGGUGGCUGUGCGCCUCCCCCCUUCCCCUAGUCCUAUUAGGACUAGGAGAGGUGGCCGCCCCCCUCUCUCUUUCCCUCCUCCGCGAAUCCUAUUCCAACUAGGAUUGGGGGGGGGGGGGAAUCCUACUCCCAGAGGGAGUAGGACUCUUCUGGCGCGCCUCCUAUGGCCGGCCAGCCUCCCCCCUCUAGUCCUUUAUAUACUGAGGCAGAGGCACCCCAGAAACACACAAGUUGAUCCACGUGAUCUAUUCCUUAGCCGUGUGCGGUGCACCCAGCCACCAUAUUCCUCGAUAAUACUGUAGCAGAGUUUAGGCGAAGCCCUGCUGCUGUAGUGCAUCAAGAUCGUCACGACGCCGUCAUGCCGACGGAACUCUUCCCCGACACUUUGCUGGAUCGGAGUUCGGGGAUUGUCAUCGAGCUGAACGUGUGCUCGAACUCGGAGGUGCCGUAGUUUCGGUACUUGAUCAGUUGGAUCGUGAAGACGUACGACUACUUCCUCUACGUUGCGUCAAUGCUUCUGCAGUCGGUCUGCGUGGGUACAUAGACAACACUCUCCCCUCUCGUUGCUAUGCAUCACAUGAUCUUGCGUGUGCGUAGGAAUUUUUUUGAAAUUACUACGAAACCCAACAGUGGUAUCAGAGCCUAGGUUAUUUAUGUUGAUGUUAUAUGCACGAGUAGAACACAAGUGAGUUGUGGGCGAUAUAAGUCAUACUGCCUACCAGCAUGUCAUACUUUGGUUCGGCGGCAUUGUUGGACGAGACGACCCGGACCAACAUUACGCUUAUGCUUACGCGAGACCGGUUCCCCCGACGUGCUUUGCACAUAGGUGGCUUGCGGGCGACAGUCUCUCCAACUUUAGUUGAACCAAGUAUGGCUAUGCCCGGUCCUUGCGAAGGUUAAAACAGAGUCUAUUUGACAAACUAUCGUUGUGGUUUUGAUGCGUAGGUGAGAUUGGUUCUUGCUUAAGCCCGUAGCAGCCACGUAAAACUUGCAACAACAAAGUAGAGGACGUCUAACUUGUUUUUGCAGGGCAUGUUGUGAUGUGAUAUGGUCAAGGCAUGAUGCUAAAUUUUAUUGUAUGAGAUGAUCAUGUUUUGUAACCGAGUUAUCGGCAACUGGCAGGAGCCAUAUGGUUGUCGCUUUAUUGUAUGCAAUGCAAUCGCGAUGUAAUGCUUUACUUUAUUACUAAGCGGUAGUGAUAGUCGUGGAAGCAUAAGAUUGGCGAGACGACAACGAUGCUAUGAUGGAGAUCAAGGUGUCGCGCCAGUGACGAUGGUGAUCAUGAUGAUGCUUCGGAGAUGGAGAUCACAAGCACAAGAUGAUGAUGGCCAUAUCAUAUCACUUAUAUUGAUUGCAUGUGAUGUUUAUCUUUUUAUGCAUCUUAUCUUGCUUUGAUUGACGGUAGCAUUAUAAGAUGAUCUCUCACUAAAUUAUCAAGAAGUGUUCUCCCUGUGUAUGCACCGUUGCCAAAGUUCGUCGUGCCCAGACACCACGUGAUGAUCGGGUGUGAUAAGCUCUACGUCCAUCUACAACGGGUGCAAGCCAGUUUUUGCACACGCAGAAUACUCAGGUUAAACUUGACGAGCCUAGCAUAUGCAGAUAUGGCCUCAGAACACGGAGACCGAAAGGUCGAGCGUGAAUCAUAUAGUAGAUAUGAUCAACAUAACGAUGUUCACCAUUGAAAACUACUCCAUCUCACGUGAUGAUCGGUUAUGGUUUAGUUGAUUUGGAUCACAUAAUCACUUAGAAGAUCGGAGGGAUGUCUAUCUAAGUGGGAGUUCUUAAGUAAUUUGAUUAACUGAACUUAAACUUAUCAUGAACUUAGUACCUGAUAGUAUCUUGCUUGUUUAUGUUGAUUGUAGAUAGAUGGCUCAUGCUGUUGUUCCGUUGAAUUUUAAUGCGUUCCUUGAGAAAGCAAAGUUGAAAGAUGAUGGUAGCAAUUAUACGGACUGGGUCCAUAACUUGAGGAUUAUCCUCAUUGCUGCCCAGAAGAAUUACGUCCUGGAAGCACCGUUGGGUGCCAGGCCUGCUGCUGGAGCAACACCAGAUGUUAUGAACGUCUGGCAGAGCAAAGCUGAUGACUACUCGAUAGUUCAGUGUGCCAUGCUUUACGGCUUAGAAUCGGGACUUCAACGACGUUUUGAACGUCAUGGAGCAUAUGAGAUGUUCCAGGAGUUGAAGUUAAUAUUUCAAGCAAAUGCCCGGAUUGAGAGAUAUGAAGUCUCCAAUAAGUUCUAUAACUGCAAGAUGGAGGAGAACAGUUCUGUCAGUGAGCAUAUACUCAAAAUGUCUGGGUAUAAUAAUCACUUGAUUCAAUUGGGAGUUAAUCUUCCGGAUGAUUGCGUCAUUGACAAAAUUCUCCAAUCACUGCCACCAAGCUACAAGAGCUUCGUGAUGAACUACAAUAUGCAAGGGAUGAACAAGACUAUUCCCGAGCUCUUCGCGAUGCUGAAAGCUGCGGAGGUAGAAAUCAAGAAGGAGCAUCAAGUGUUGAUGGUUAAGAAGACCACUAGUUUCAAGAAAAAGGGCAAAGGGAAGAAGAAGGGGAACUUCAAGAAGAACAGCAAGCAAGUUGCUACUCAGGAGAAGAAACCCAAGUCUGGACCUAAGCCUGAAACUGAGUGCUUCUACUACAAGCAGACUGGUCACUGGAAUCGGAACUGCCCCAAGUAUUUGGCGGAUAAGAAGGAUGGCAAGGUGAACAAAGGUAUAUGUGAUAUACAUGUUAUUGAUGUGUACCUUACUAGAGCUCGCAGUAGCACCAGGGUAUUUGAUACUGGUUGUGUUGCUAAUAUUUGCAACUCGAAACAGGGACUACGGAAUAAGCGGGCACUAGCAAAGGACGAGGUGACGAUGCGCGUGGGAAACGGUUCCAAAGUCGAUGUGAUCGCGGUCGGCACGCUACCUCUACAUCUACCUUCGGGAUUAAUAUUAGACCUAAAUAAUUGUUAUUUGGUGCCAGCGUUAAGCAUGAACAUUAUAUCUGGAUCUUGUUUAAUGCGAGACGGUUAUUCAUUUAAAUCAGAGAAUAAUGGUUGUUCUAUUUAUAUGAGUAAUAUCUUUUAUGGUCAUGCACUUUUGAAGAGUGGUCUAUUUUUGAUGAAUCUCGAUAGUAGUGAUACACAUAUUCAUAAUGUUGAAGCCAAAAGAUACAGAGUUGAUAAUGAAAGUGCAAAUUAUUUGUGGCACUGUCGUUUAGGUCAUAUCGGUGUAAAGCGCAUGAAGAAACUCCAUACUGAUGGACUUUUGGAACCACUUGAUUAUGAAUCACUUGGUACUUGCGAACCGUGCCUCAUGGGCAAGAUGACUAAAACACCGUUCUCUGGUACUAUGGAGAGAGCAACAGAUUUGUUGGAAAUCAUACAUACCGAUGUAUGUGGUCCGAUGAAUAUUGAGGCUCGUGGCGGAUAUCGUUAUUUUCUCACCUUCACAGAUGACUUGAGCAGAUAUGGGUAUAUCUACUUAAUGAAACAUAAAUCUGAAACAUUUGAAAAGUUCAAAGAAUUUCAGAGUGAAGUUGAAAAUCAUCGUAACAAGAAAAUAAAGUUUCUACGAUCUGAUCGGGGAGGAGAAUAUUUGAGUUACGAGUUUGGUGUACAUUUGAAAAAUUGUGGAAUAGUUUCGCAACUCACGCCACCCAGAACACCACAGCGUAAUGGUGUGUCCGAACGUCGUAAUCUUAAUUUACUAGAUAUGGUGCGAUCUAUGAUGUCUCUUACUGAUUUACCGCUAUCAUUUUGGGGUUAUGCUUUAGAGACGGCCGCAUUCACGUUAAAUAGGGCACCAUCAAAAUCCGUUGAGACGCCUUUUGAACUGUGGUUUGGCAAGAAACCAAAGUUGUCGUUUCUUAAAAUUUGGGGCUGCGAUGCUUAUGUGAAAAAGCUUCAACCUGAUAAGCUCGAACCCAAAUCGGAGAAAUGUGUCUUCAUAGGAUACCCAAAGGAGACUGUUGGGUACACCUUCUAUCACACAUCCGAAGGCAAGACAUUCGUUGCUAAGAAUGGAUCCUUUCUAGAGAAGGAGUUUCUCUCGAAAGAAGUGAGUGGGAGGAAAGUAGAACUUGACGAGGUAACUGUACCUGCUCCUUUAUUGGAAAGUAGCACAUCACAGAAAACUGUUUCUGCGACACCUACACCAAUAAGUGAGAAAGCUAAUGAUGAUGAUCAUGAAACUUCAGAUCAAGAUACUACUGAACCUCAUAGAUCAACCAGAGUAAGAUCCGCGCCAGAGUGGUACGGUAAUCCUGUUCUGGAGAUCAUGCUACUAGAUCAUGAUGAACCUACGAACUAUGAAGAAGCGAUGGUGAGCCCAGAUUCCGCAAAGUGGCUUGAAGCCAUGAAAUCUGAGAUGGGAUCCAUGUAUGAGAACAAAGUAUGGACUUUGGUUGACUUGCCUGAUGAUCGGCAAGCAAUUGAGAAUAGAUGGAUCUUCAAGAAGAAGACUGACGCUGAUGGUAAUGUUACUAUCUACAAAGCUCGACUUGUCGCAAAAGGUUUUCGACAAGUUCAAGGGGUUGACUACGAUGAGACCUUCUCACCCGUAGCGAUGCUUAAGUCUGUCCGAAUCAUGUUAGCAAUUGCCGCAUUUUAUGAUUAUGAAAUUUGGCAGAUGGAUGUCAAAACUGCAUUCCUGAAUGGAUUUCUGGAAGAAGAGUUGUAUAUGAUGCAACCGGAAGGUUUUGUCGAUCCAAAGGGAGCUAACAAAGUGUGCAAGCUCCAGCGAUCCAUUUAUGGACUGGUGCAAGCCUCUCGGAGUUGGAAUAAACAUUUUGAUAGUGUGAUCAAAGCAUUUGGUUUUAUACAGACUUUUGGAGAAGCCUGUAUUUACAAGAAAGUGAGUGGGAGCUCUGUAGCAUUUCUGAUAUUAUAUGUGGAUGACAUAUUGCUGAUUGGAAAUGAUAUAGAAUUUCUGGAUAGCAUAAAGGGAUACUAGAAUAAGAGUUUUUCGAUGAAAGACCUCGGUGAAGCUGCUUACAUAUUAGGCAUAAAGAUCUAUAGAGAUAGAUCAAGACGCUUAAUUGGACUUUCACAAAGCACAUACCUUGACAAGAUUUUGAAGAAGUUCAAAAUGGAUCAAGCAAAGAAAGGGUUCUUGCCUGUGUUACAAGGUGUGAAGUUGAGUCAGACUCAAUGCCCGACCACUGCAGAAGAUAGAGAGAAAAUGAAAGAUGUUCCCUAUGCUUCAGCCAUAGGCUCUAUCAUGUAUGCAAUGCUGUGUACCAGACCUGAUGUGUGCCUUGCUAUAAGUUUAGCAGGGAGGUCCCAAAGUAAUCCAAGAGUGGAUCACUGGACAGCGGUCAAGAACAUCCUGAAAUACCUGAAAAGGACUAAGGAUAUGUUUCUCAUGUAUGGAGGUGACAAAGAGCUCACCGUAAAAGGUUACGUUGAUGCAAGCUUUGACACUGAUCCGGACGAUUCUAAAUCGCAAACCGGAUACGUGUUUACAUUAAACAGUGGAGCUGUCAGUUGGUGCAGUUCUAAACAAAGCGUCGUAGCGGGAUCUACAUGUGAAGCGGAGUACAUAGCUGCUUCGGAAGCAGCAAACGAAGGAGUCUAGAUGAAGCAGUUCAUAUCCGAUCUAGGUGGCAUACCUAGUGCAUCGGGUCCAAUGAAAAUCUUUUGUGACAAUACUGGUGCAAUUGCCUUGGCAAAGGAAUCUAGAUUUCACAAAAGGACCAAACACAUCAAGAGACGCUUCAAUUCCAUCCGGGAUCUAGUCCAGGUGGGAGACAUAGAGAUUUGCAAGAUACAUAUGGAUCUGAAUGUUGCAGACCCGUUGACUAAGCCUCUUCCACGAGCAAAACAUGAUCAGCACCAAAGCUCCAUGGGUGUUAGAAUCAUUACAGUGUAAUCUAGAUUAUUAACUCUAGUUCAAGUGGGAGACUGAAGGAAAUAUGCCCUAGAGGCAAUAAUAAAGUUAUUAUUUAUUUCCUUAUAUCAUGAUAAAUGUUUAUUAUUCAUGCUAGAAUUGUAUUAACCAAAAACAUAAUACAUGUGUGAAUACAUAGACAAACAGAGUGUCACUAGUAUGCCUCUACUUGACUAGCUCAUUAAUCAAAGAUGGUUAUGUUUCCUAACCAUGAACAAAGAGUUGUUAUUUGAUUAACAAGGUCACAUCAUUAGUUGAAUGAUCUGAUUGACAUGACCCAUUCCAUUAGCUUAGCACCCGAUCGUUUAGUAUGUUGCUAUUGCUUUUCUUCAUGACUUAUACAUGUUCCUAUGACUAUGAGAUUAUGCAACUCCCGUUUACUGGAGGAACACUUUGGGUACUACCAAACGUCACAACGUAACUGGGUGAUUAUAAAGGAGUACUACAGGUGUCUCCAAAGGUAGAUGUUGGGUUGGCGUAUUUCGAGAUUAGGAUUUGUCACUCCGAUUGUCGGAGAGGUAUCUCUGGGCCCUCUCGGUAAUGCACAUCACAUAAUCCUUGCAAGCAUUGCAACUAAUGAGUUAGUUGUGAGAUGAUGUAUUAUGGAACGAGUAAAGAGACUUGCCGGUAACGAGAUUGAACUAGGUAUCGAAAUACCGACGAUCGAAUCUCGGGCAAGUAACAUACCGAUGACAAAAGGAACAACGUAUGUUGUUAUGCGGUUUGACCGAUAAAGAUCUUCGUAGAAUAUGUAGGAGCCAAUAUGGGCAUCCAGGUCCCGCUAUUGGUUAUUGACCGGAGACGUGUCUCGGUCAUGUCUACAUUGUUCUCGAACCCGUAGGGUCCGCACGCUUAAGGUUACGAUGACAGUUAUAUUAUGAGUUUAUGCAUUUUGAUGUACCGAAGGUUGUUCGGAGUCUUGGAUAUGAUCACGACCAUGACGAGGAGUCUCGAAAUGGUCGAGACAUAAAGAUUGAUAUAUUGGAAGCCUAUGUUUGGAUAUCGAAAGUGUUCCGGGUGAAAUCGGGAUUUUACCGGAGUACCGGGAGGUUACCGGAACCCCCCGGGAGCUAUAUGGGCCUUAGUGGGCUUUAGUGGAAAGGAGAAAGGGGCAGCCCAAGAUGGCUGUGCGCCUCCCCCCUUCCCCUAGUCCUAUUAGGACUAGGAGAGGUGGCCGGCCCCCGCUCUCUCUUUCCCCCCUCCGCGAAUCCUAUUCCAACUAGGAUUGGGGGGGGGGGGAAUCCUACUCCCAGAGGGAGUAGGACUCUCCUGGCGCGCCUCCUAUGGCCGGCCAGCCUCCCCCCUCUAGUCCUUUAUAUACUGAGGCAGAGGCACCCCAGAAACACACAAGUUGAUCCACGAGAUCUAUUCCUUAGCCGUGUGCGGUGCCCCCAGCCACCAUAUUCCUCGAUAAUACUGUAGCGGAGUUUAGGCGAAGCCCUGCUGCUGUAGUGCAUCAACAUCGUCACCACGCCGUCGUGCUGACGGAACUCUUCCCUGACACUUUGCUGGAUCGGAGUCCGGGGAUUGUCAUCGAGCUGAACGUGUGCUCGAACUCGGAGGUGCCGUAGUUUCUGUACUUGAUCGGUUGGAUCGUGAAGACGUAUGACUACUUCCUCUACGUUGCGUCAACGCUUCCGCAGUCGGUCUGCGUGGGCACGUAGACAACACUCUCCCCUCUCGUUGCUAUGCAUCACAUGAUCUUGCGUGUGCGUAGGAAUUUUUUUGAAAUUACUACGAAACCCAACAGGGAGGCGCGCGGCCCACCUUGGGCUGCCCCUUUCUCCUUUCCACUAAAGCCCACUAAGGCCCAUAUAGCUCCCGGGGGGUUCCGGUAACCUCCCGGUACUCCGGUAAAAUCUCGAUUUCACCCGGAACACUUCCGAUAUCCAAACAUAGGCUUCCAAUAUAUCAAUCUUUAUGUCUCGACCAUUUCGAGACUCCUCGUCAUGUCCGUGAUCACAUCCGGGACUCUGAACUAACUUCGGUACAUCAAAAUGCAUAAACUCAUAAUAACUGUCAUUGUAACGUUAAGCGUGCGGACCCUACGGUUCGAGAACAAUGCAGACAUGACUGAGACACAUCUCCGGUCAAUAACCAAUAGCGGGACCUGGAUGCCCAUAUUGGCUCCUACAUAUUCUACGAAGAUCUUUAUCGGUCAGACCGCAUAACAACAUACGUUGUUCCCUUUGUCAUCGGUAUGUUACUUGCCCGAGAUUCGAUCGUCGGUAUCCAAUACCUAGUUCAAUCUCGUUACCGGCAAGUCUCUUUACUCGUUCCAUAAUACAUCAUCUCACAACUAACAUAUUAGUUGUAAUGCUUGCAAGGCUUAUGUGAUGUGCAUUACCGAGAGGGCCCAGAGAUACCUCUCCGACAAUCGGAGUGACAAAACCUAAUCUCGAAAUACGCCAACCCAACAUGUACCUUUGGAGACACCUAUAGUACUCCUUUAUAAUCACCCAGUUACGUUGUGACGUUUGGUAGCACCCAAAGUGUUCCUCCGGUAAACGGGAGUUGCAUAAUCUCAUAGUUAUAGGAACAUGUAUAACUCAUGAAGAAAGCAAUAGCAACAUACUAAACGAUCGAGUGCUAAGCUAAUGGAAUGGGUCAUGUCAAUCAGAUCAUUCACUUAAUGAUGUGAUCCCGUUAAUCAAAUAACAACUCCUUGUUUAUGGUUAGGAAACAUAACCAUCUUUGAUUAACGAGCUAGUCAAGUAGAGGUAUACUAGUGACACUCUGUUUGUCUAUGUAUUCACACAUGUAUUAUGUUUCCGGUUAAUACAAUUCUAGCAUGAAUAAUAAACAUUUAUCAUGAUAUAAGGAAAUAAAUAAUAACUUUAUUAUUGCCUCUAGGGCAUAUUUCCUUCAGUCUCCCACUUGCACUAGAGUCAAUAAUCUAGUUCACAUCGCCAUGUGAUUCAACACUAAGAGUUCACAUCACCAUGUGAUUAACACCCAUAGUUCACAUCGUCAUGUGACCUAUACCCAAACGGUUUACUAGAGUCAAUAAUCUAGUUCACAUCAUUUAUGUGAUUAACACCCAAAGAGUACUAAGGUGUGAUCAUGUUUUGCUUGUGAGAUAAUUUUAGUCAACGGGUCUGUCACAUUCAGAUCCGUAAGUAUUUUGCGAAUUUCUAUGUCAACAAUGCUCUGCAUGGAGCUACUCUAGCUUAUUGCUCCCACUUUCAAUAUGUAUCUAGAUCAAGACUUAGAGUCAUCCAGAUCGGUGCCAAAACUUGAAUCGAUGUAACUCUUUACGACGAACCUUUUGUCACCUCCAUAAUCGAGAAACAUAUCCUUAUUCCACUAAGGAUAACUUUGACCGCUGUCCAGUGAUCUACUCCUAGAUCACCAUUGUACUCCCUUGCUUAACUCAGUGUAGGGUAUAUAAUAGAUCUGGUACACAUCAUGGCAUACUUUAUAGAACCUAUGGCUGAGGCAUAGGGAAUGACUUUCAUUCUCUUUCUAUCUUCUGCCGUGGUCGGGCUUUGAGUCUUACUCAACUUCACACCUUGUAACACAGGCAAGAAACCUUUUCUUUGACUGUUCCAUUUUGAACUACUUCAAAAUCUUGUCAAGGUAUGUAAUCAUUGAAAAAACUUAUCAAGUGUCUUGAUCUAUCUCUAUAGAUCUUGAUACUCAAUAUGUAAGCAGCUUCACCGAGGUCUUUCUUUGAAAAACUCCUUUCAAACACUCCUUUAUGCUUUGCAGAAUAAUUCUACAUUAUUUCUGAUCAACAAUAUGUCAUCCACAUAUACUUAUCAGAAAUGUUGUAGUGCUCCCACUCACUUUCUUGUAAAUACAGGCUUCACCGCAAGUCUGUAUAAAACUAUAUGCUUUGAUCAACUUAUCAAAGCGUAUAUUCCAACUCCGAGAUUCUUGCACCAGUCCAUAGAUGGAUCGCUGGAGCUUGCAUAUUUAGUUAACACCUUUAGGAUCGACAAAACCUUCUAGUUGCAUCGCAUACAACUCUUCUUUAGUAAAUCCAUUAAGAAAUGCAGUUUUGUUUAUCCAUUUGCAAGAUUUCAUAAAAUGCGGCAAUUGCUAACAUGAUUCGGACAGACAUAAGCAUAGAUACGAGUGAGAAAAUCUCAUCGUAGUGAACACCUUGAACUUGUCGAAAACCUUUUGCGACAAUUCUAGCUUUGUAGAUAGUAACACUACUAUCAGCGUCCGUCUUCCUCUUGAAGAUUCAUUUAUUUUCUAUGGCUUGCCGAUCAUCGGGCAAGUCAACCAAAGUCCAUACUUUGUUCUCAUACAUGGAUCGUAUCUCAGAUUUCAUGGCCUCAAACCAUUUCGCGGAAUCUGGGCUCACCAUCGCUUCUUCAUAGUUCGUAGGUUCAUCAUGAUCUAGUAGCAUGACUUCCAAAACUGGAUUACCGUACCACUCUGGCGUGGAUCUCACUCUGGUUGAUCUACGAGGUUUAGUAGUAUCUUGUUAUGAAGUUUCAUGAUCAUUAUCAGUAACUUCCUCACUUAUUGGUGUAGGUGUCGCAGAAACAGUUUUCUGUGAUGUACUACUUUCUAACAAGGGAGCAGUUACAGUUACCUCAUCAAGUUCUACUUUCCUCCCACUCACUUCUUUCGAGAGAAACUCCUUCUCCAGAAAGUUUCCGAAUUUAGCAACAAAAGUCUUGCCUUCGGAUUUGUGAUAGAAGGUGUAUCCAAUAGUUUCCUUUGGAUAUCCUAUGAAGACACAUUUCUACGAUUUGGGUUCGAGCUUAUCAGGUUGAAGCUUUUUCACAUAAGCAUCGCAGCCCCAAACUUUAAGAAAUGACAACUUCGGUUUCUUGCCAAACCACAGUUCAUAAGGCGUCGUCUUAAUGGAUUUUGAUGGUGCCCUAUUUAACGUGAAUGCGGCCGUCUCUAGAGCGUAUCCCCAAAACGAUAGCGGUAAAUCAGUAAGAGACAUCAUAGAUCGCACCAUAUCUAGUAAAGUACGAUUACGACGUUCGGACACACCAUUACGCUGUGGUGUUCCGGGUGGCGUGAGUUGCGAAACUAUUCCACAAUUUUUCAAAUGUACACCAAACUCGUAACUCAAAUAUUCUCCUCCACGAUCAGAUCGUAGAAACUUUAUUUUCUUGUAACGAUGAUUUUCAACUUCACUCUGAAAUUCUUUGAACUUUUCAAAUGUUUCAGACUUAUGUUUCAUUAAGUAGAUAUACCCGUAUCUGCUUAAAUCAUCUGUGAAGGUGAGAAAAUAACGAUAUCCGCCACGAGCUUCAAUAUUCAUCGGACCACAUGCAUCUGUAUGUAUGAUUUCCAACAAAUCUGUUGCUCUCUCCAUAGUACCGGAGAACGGUGUUUUAGUCAUCUUGCCCAUGAGGCACGGUUCGCAAGUACCAAGCGAUUCAUAAUCAAGUGGUUCCAAAAGCCCAUCAGUAUGGAGUUUCUUCAUGCGCUUUACACCGAUAUGACCUAAACAGCAGUGCCACAAAUAAGUUGCACUAUCAUUAUCAACUCUGCAUCUUUUGGCUUCAACAUUAUGAAUAUGUGUAUUACUACUAUCGAGAUUCAAUAAGAAUAGACCACUCUUCAAGGGUGCAUGACCAUAAAAGAUAUUACUCAUAUAAAUAGAACAACCAUUAUUCUCUGAUUUAAAUGAAUAACCGUCUCACAUUAAACAAGAUCCAGAUAUAAUGUUCAUGCUCAAUGCUAGCACCGAAUAACAAUUAUUUAGGUCUAAUACUAAUCCCGAAGGUAGAUGUAGAGGUAGCGUGCCGACCACGAUCACAUCGACUUUGGAACCGUUUCCCACGCGCAUCGUCACCUCGUCCUUAGCCAAUCUUCGCUUAAUCCGUAGUCCCUGUUUCGAGUUGCAAAUAUUAGCAACAGAACCAGUAUCAAAUACCCAGGUGCUACUGCGAGCAUUAGUAAGGUACACAUCAAUAACAUGUAUAUCACAUAUACCUUUGUUCACCUUGCCAUCCUUCUUAUCCGCCAAAUACUUGGGGCAGUUCCGCUUCCAGUGGCCAGUCUGCUUGCAGUAGAAGCACUCAGUUUCAGGCUUAGGUCCAGACUUGGGUUUCUUCUCUUGAGCAGCAACUUGCUUGCUGUUCUUUUUGAAGUUCCCCUUCUUCUUCCCUUUGCCCUUUUUCUUGAAACUAGUGGUCUUGUUGACCAUCAACACUUGAUGCUCCUUUUUGAUUUCUACCUCCGCAGCUUUCAGCAUUGCGAAGAGCUCGGGAAUAGUCUUGUUCAUCCCUUGCAUAUUAUAGUUCAUCACGAAGCUCUUGUAGCUUGGUGGCAGUGAUUGGAGAAUUCUGUCAAUGACGCAAUCAUCUGGAAGAUUAACUCCCAUCUGAAUCAAGUGAUUAUUAUACCCAGACAUUUUGAGUAUAUGCUCACUGACAGAACUGUUCUCCUCCAUCUUGCAGCUAUAGAACUUAUUGGAGACUUCAUAUCACUUAAUUCGGGCAUUUGCUUGAAAUAUUAACUUCAACUCCUGAAACAUCUCAUAUGCUCCAUGACGUUCAAAACGUCGUUGAAGUCCCGAUUCUAAGCCGUAAAGCAUGGCACACUGAACUAUCGAGUAGUCAUCAGCUUUGCUCUGCCAGACGUUCAUAACAUCUGGUAUUGCUCCAGCAGCAGGCCUGGCACCCAGCGGUGCUUCCAGGACGUAAUUCUUCUGUGCAGCAAUGAGGAUAAUCCUCAAGUUACGGACCCAGUCCGUGUAAUUGCUACCAUCAUCUUUCAACUUUGCUUUCUCAAGGAACGCAUUAAAAUUCAACGGAACAACAGCACGAGCCAUCUAUCUACAAUCAACAUAAACAAGCAAGAUACUAUCAGGGACUAAGUUCAUGAUAAAUUUAAGUUCAAUUAAUCAUAUUACUUAAGAACUCCCACUUAGAUAGACAUCCCUCUAAUCCUCUAAGUGAUCACGUGAUCCAAAUCAACUAAACCAUGUCCGAUCAUCACGUGAGAUGGAGUAGUUCCAUUGGUGAACAUUACUAUGUUGAUCAUAUCUACUAUAUGAUUCACGCUCGACCUUUCGGUCUUCGUGUUCCGAGGCCAUAUCUGUAUAUGCUUGGCUUGUCAAGUAUAACCUGAGUAUUCCGCGUGUGCAACUGUUUUGCACCCGUUGUGUUUGAACGUAGAGCCUAUCACACCCGAUCAUCACGUGGUGUCUCAACACGAAGAACUUUCGCAACGGUGCAUACUCAGGGAGAACACUUCUUGAUAAUUUAGUGAGAGAUCAUCUUAUAAUGCUACCGUCAAUCAAAGCAAGAUAAGAUGCAUAAAAGAUAAACAUCACAUGCAAUCAAUAUAAGUGAUAUGAUAUGGCAAACAUCAUCUUGUGCCUGUGAUCUCCAUCUCUGAAGCACCGUCAUGAUCACCAUCGUCAUCGGCGCGACACCUUGAUCUCCAUCGUAGCAUCGUUGUCGUCUUGCCAAUCUUAUGCUUCCACGACCAUCGCUACCACUUAGUGAUAAAGUAAAGCAUUACAUCGCGAUUGCAUUGCAUACAAUAAAGUGACAACCAUAUGGCUCCUGCCAGUUGCCGAUAACUCGGUUACAAAACAUGAUCAUCUCAUACAAUAAAAUUCAGCAUCAUGCCUUGACCAUAUCACAUCACAACAUGCCCUGCAAAAACAAGUUAGACGUCCUCUACUUUGUUGUUGCAAGUUUUACGUGGCUACUACGGGCUUAAGCAAGAACCAAUCUCACCUACGCAUCAAAACCACAACGAUAGUUUGUCAAAUAGACUCCGUUUUAACCUUCGCAAGGACCGGGCGUAGCCACACUUGGUUCAACUAAAGUUGGAGAGACUGUCGCCCGCAAGCCACCUAUGUGCAAAGCACGUCGGGAGAACCAGUCUCGCGUAAGCGUACGCGUAAUGUCGGUCCGGUUCGUCUCGUCCAACAAUACCGCCGAACCAAAGUAUGACAUGCUGGUAGGCAGUAUGACUUAUAUCGCCCACAACUCACUUGUGUUCUACUCGUGCAUAUAACAUCAAACCAUAAAACCUAGGCUUGGAUGCCACUGUUGGGGAACGCAGUAAUUUCAAAAAAUUUCCUACGCACACGCAAGAUCAUGGUGAUGCAUAGCAACGAGAGGGGAGAGUGUUGUCUACGUACCCACGCAGACCGACUGCGGAAGUGUUGACGCAACGUAGAGGAAGUAGUCGUACGUCUUCCCGAUCCGACCGAUCCAAGCACCGUUACUCCGGCACCUCCGAGUUCUUAGCACACGUACAAAUCGAUGACGAUCCCCGGGCUCCGAUCCAGCAAAGCAUCGGGGAGGAGUUCCGUCAGCACGACGGUGUGGUGACGAUCUUGAUGUUCUACUAUCGCAGGGCUUCGCCUAAGCACCGCUACAAUAUGAUCGAGGUGGAAUAUGGUGGCAGGGGGCACCGCACACGGCUAAGGAACGAUCUCAAGGAUCAACUUGUGUGUCUAGAGGUGCCCCCUACCCCCGUAUAUAAAGGAUCCAAGGGGGAGGGGGCGGCCGGCCAGGAGGAGGGCGCAGGAGGAGUCCUACUCCUACCGGGAGUAGGACUCCCCCCCAAUCCUAGUUGGAAUAGGAUUCCCCGAGGGGGAAAGAGAGAGAGGGGGGCCGGCCACCUCUCCUUGUCCUAAUAGGACUAGGGGAGGGGGAGGCGCGCGGCCCACCUUGGGCUGCCCCUUUCUCCUUUCCACUAAAGCCCACUAAGGCCCAUAUAGCUCCCGGGGGGUUCCGGUAACCUCCCGGUACUCCGGUAAAAUCUCAAUUUCACCCGGAACACUUCCGAUAUCCAAACAUAGGCUUCCAAUAUAUCAAUCUUUAGGUCUCGACCAUUUCGAGACUCAUCGUCAUGUCCGUGAUCACAUCCGGGACUCCGAACUAACUUCGGUACAUCAAAAUGCAUAAACUCAUAAUAACUGUCAUCGUAACAUUAAGCGUGCGGACCCUACGGUUCGAGAACAAUGCAGACAUGACUGAGACACAUCUCCGGUCAAUAACCAAUAGCGGGACCUGGAUGCCCAUAUUGGCUCCUACAUAUUCUACGAAGAUCUUUAUCGGUCAGACCGCAUAACAACAUACGUUGUUCCCUUUGUCAUCGGUAUGUUACUUGCCCGAGAUUCGAUCGUCGGUAUCCAAUACCUAGUUCAAUCUCGUUACCGGCAAGUCUCUUUACUCGUUCCAUAAUACAUCAUCUCAAAACUAACAUAUUAGUUGUAAUGCUUGCAAGGCUUAUGUGAUGUGCAUUACCGAGAGGGCCCAGAGAUACCUCUCCGACAAUCGGAGUGACAAAACCUAAUCUCGAAAUACGCCAACCCAACAUGUACCUUUGGAGACACCUGUAGUACUCCUUUAUAAUCACCCAGUUACGUUGUGAUGUUUGGUAGCACCCAAAGUGUUCCUCUGGUAAACGGGAGUUGCAUAAUCUCAUAGUUAUAGGAACAUGUAUAAGUCAUGAAGAAAGCAAUAGCAACAUACUAAACGAUCGGGUGCUAAGCUAAUGGAAUGUGUCAUGUCAAUCAGAUCAUUCACUUAAUGAUGUGAUCCUGUUAAUCAAAUAACAACUCCUUGUUUAUGGUUAGGAAACAUAACCAUCUUUGAUUAACGAGCUAGUCAAGUAGAGGCAUACUAGUGACACUUUGUUUGUCUAUGUAUUCACACAUGUAUUAUGUUUCCGGUUAAUACAAUUCUAGCAUGAAUAAUAAAAAUUUAUCAUGAUAUAAGGAAAUAAAUAAUAACUUUAUUAUUGCCUCUAGGGCAUAUUUCCUUCAGUUACCUCGUCAAGUUCUACUUUCCUCCCACUCACUUCUUUCGAGAGAAACUCCUUCUCCAGAAAGUUUCCAAAUUUAGCAACAAAAGUCGUGCCUUCGGAUCUGUGAUAGAAGGUGUAUCCAAUAGUUUCCUUUGGAUAUCCUAUGAAGACACAUUUCUCCGAUUUGGGUUCGAGCUUAUCAGGUUGAAGCUUUUUCACAUAAGCAUCGCAGCCCCAAACUUUCAGAAACGACAACUUUGGUUUCUUGCCAAACCACAAUUCAUAAGGCGUCGUCUCAAUGGAUUUUGAUGGUGCCCUAUUUAACGUGAAUGCGGCCGUCUCUAGAGCGUAUCCCCAAAACGAUAGCGGUAAAUCAGUAAGAGACAUCAUAGAUCGCACCAUAUCUAGUAAAGUAUGAUUACGACGUUCGGACACACCAUUACGCUGUGAUGUUCCGGGUGGCGUGAGUUGCGAAACUAUUCCACAAUUUUUCAAAUGUACACCAAACUCAUAACUCAAAUAUUCUCCUCCACGAUCAGAUCGUAGGAAUUUUAUUUUCUUGUUACGAUGAUUUUCAACUUCACUCUGAAAUUCUUUGAACUUUUCAAAUGUUUCAGACUUGUGUUUCAUUAAGUAGAUAUACCCAUAUCUGCUUAAGUCAUCUGUGAAGGUGAGAAGAUAACGAUAUCCGCCACGAGCCUCAACGUUCAUUGGACCACAUACAUAUGUAUGUAUGAUUUCCAACAAAUUUGUUGCUCUCUCCAUAGUACCGGAGAACGGUGUUUUAGUCAUCUUACCCAUAAGGCACGGUUUGCAAGUACCAAGUGAUUCAUAAUCAAGUGGUUCCAAAAGCCCAUCAGUAUGGAGUUUCUUCAUGCGCUUUAUACCGAUAUGACCCAAACGACAGUGCCACAAAUAAGUUGCACUAUCAUUAUCAACUCUGCAUCUUUUGGUUUCAACACUAUGAAUAUGUGUGUCACUACUAUCGAGAUUCAAUAAAAAUAGACCACUCUUUAAGGGUGCAUGACCAUAAAAGAUAUUACUCAUAUAAAUAGAACAACCAUUAUUCUCAGAUUUAAAUGAAUAACCGUCUCGCAUCAAACAAGAUCCAGAUAUAAUGUUCAUGCUUAACGCUGGCACCAAAUAACAAUUAUUUAGGUCUAAUAUUAAUCCCGAAGGUAGAUGUAGAGGUAGCGUGCCGACUGCGAUCACAUCGACUUUGGAACCGUUUCCCACGCGCAUCGUCACCUCAUCCUUAGCCAAUCUUCGCUUAAUCCAUAGUCCCUAUUUCGAGUUGCAAAUAUUAGCAACAAAACCAGUAUCAAAUACCCAGGUGCUACUGCGAGCAUUAGUAAGGUACACAUCAAUAACAUGUAUAUCACAUAUACCUUUGUUCACCUUGCCAUCCUUCUUAUCCGCCAAAUACUUGGGGCAGUUCCGCUUCCAGUGACCAGUCUGCUUGUAGUAGAAGCACUCAGUUUCAGGCUUAGGUCCAGGUUUGAGUUUCUUCUCUUGAGUAGCAACUUGCUUGCUGUUCUUUUUGAAGUUCCCCUUCUUCUUCCCUUUGCCCUUUUUCUUGAAACUAGUGGUCUUGUUGACCAUCAACACUUGAUGCUCCUUCUUGAUUUCUACCUCCGCAACUUUCAGCAUUGCGAAGAGCUCGGGAAUAGUCUUAUUCAUCCCUUGCAUAUUAUAGUUCAUCACGAAGCUCUUGUAGCUUGGUGGCAGUGAUUGGAGAAUUCUGUCAAUGACACAAUCAUCUGGAAGAUUAACUCCCAAUUGAAUCAAGUGAUUAUUAUACCCAGACAUUUUGAGUAUAUGCUCACUGACAGAACUGUUCUCCUCCAUCUUGCAGAUAUAGAACUUAUUGGAGACUUCAUAUCUCUCAAUCCGGGCAUUUGCUUGAAAUAUUAACAUCAACUCCUGGAACAUCUCAUAUGCUCCAUGACGUUCAAAACGUCGUUGAAGUCCCAAUUCUAAGCCGUAAAGCAUGUCACACUGAACUAUCGAGUAGUCAUCAGCUUUGCUCUGCCAGAUGUUCAUAACAUCUGGUGUUGCUCCAGCAGCAGGCCUGGCACCCAGCGGUGCUUCCAGGACGUAAUUCUUCUAUGCAGCAAUGAGGAUAAUCCUCAAGUUACGGACCCAGUCCGUGUAAUUGCUACCAUCAUCUUUCAACUUUGCUUUCUCAAGGAACGCAUUAAAAUUCAACAGAACAACAACACGAGCCAUCUAUCUACAAUCAAGUAUAAACAAGCAAGAUACUAUCAGGUACUAAGUUUCAUGAUAAAUUUAGGUUCAAUUAGUUUACUUAAAGAACUCUCACUUAGAUAGACAUCCCUCUAAUCCUCUAAGUGAUUACGUGAUCCAAAUCAACUAAACCAUGUCCGAUCAUCACGUGAGAUGGAGUAGUUUCAUUGGUGAACAUCAUUAUGUUGAUCAUAUCUACUAUAUGAUUCACGCUCGACCUUUCGGUCUCCGUGUUCCGAGGCCAUAUCUGUAUAUGCUUGGCUCGUCAAGUAUAACCUGAGUAUUCCGCGUGUGCAACUGUUUUGCACCCGAUGUAUUUGAACGUAGAGCCUAUCACACCCGAUCAUCACGUGGUGUCUCAACACGAAGAACUUUCGCAACGGUGCAUACUCAGGGAGAACACUUCUUGAUAAUUAGUGAGAGAUCAUCUUAUAAUGCUACCGUCAAUCAAAGCAAGAUAAGAUGCAUAAAAGAUAAACAUCACAUGCAAUCAAUAUAAGUGAUAUGAUAUGGCCAUCAUCAUCUUGUGCUUGUGAUCUCCAUCUUCGAAGCACCGCCGUGAUCACCAUCGUCACCGGCGCGACACCUUGAUCUCCAUCGUAGCAUCGUUGUCGUCUCGCCAAUCUUAUGCUUCCACGACUAUCGCUACCGCUUAGUGAUAAAGUAAAGCAUUACAGCGUGAUUGCAUUGCAUACAAUAAAGCGACAACCAUAUGGCUCCUGCCAGUUGCCGAUAACUCGGUUACAAAAGAUGAUCAUCUCAUACAAUAAAAUUUAGCAUCAUGUCUUGACCAUAUCACAUCACAACAUGCCCUGCAAAAACAAGUUAGACGUCCUCUACUUUGUUGUUGCAAGUUUUACGUGGCUGCUACGGGCUUAAGCAAGAACCAAUCUUACCUACGCAUCAAAACCACAACGAUAGUUUGUCAAGUUGGUGUUGUUUUAACCUUCGCAAGGACCGGGCGUAGCCACACUCGGUUCAACUAAAGUUGGAGAAACUGUCAUUCGCAAGCCACUUAUGUGCAAAGCACGUCGGGAGAACAGGUCUCGCGUAAGCAUACGCGUAAUGUCGGUCCGGGCCGCUUCGUCCAACAAUACCGCCGAACCAAAGUAUGACAUGCUGGUAAGCAGUAUGACUUAUAUCGCCCACAACUCACUUGUGUUCUACUCGUGCAUAUAACAUCAACAUAUAAAACCUAGGCUCGGAUGCCACUGUUGGGGAACGUAGUAAUUUCAAAAAAUUUCCUACGCACACGCAAGAUCAUGGUGAUGCAUAGCAACGAGAGGGGAGAGUGUGAUCUACGUACCCUUGUAGACUGACAGCAGAAGCGUUAGCACAACGCGGUUGGUGUAGUCGUACGUCUUCACGGCCCGACCGAUCAAGCACCGAAACUACGGCACCUCCGAGUUUUAGCACACGUUCAGCUCGAUGACGAUCCCCGGACUCCGGUCCAGCAAAGUGUCGGGGAAGAGUUCCGUCAGCACAACGGCGUGGUGACGAUCUUGAUGUACUAUCGUCGCAGGGCUUCGCCUAAGCAUCGCUACAAUGUCAUCGAGGAUUAUGGUGGAAGGGGGCACCGCACACGGCUAAGAAUAUGAUCACGUGGAUCAACUUGUGUGUCUAGGGGUGCCCCCUGCCCCCGUAUAUAAAGGAUCAAGGGGAGGAGGCCGGCCGGCCCCUAUGGCGCGCCAAGGAGGAAUCCUCCUCCUAGUAGGAGUAGGACUCCUACUAGGAGGGGGAAAGAAGUGGGGAGGAAGAAGGAAAGGGGGGCGCCGCCCCCCUUUCCUAGUCCAAUUCGGACCAGGGGGGAGGAGGCGCGCGGCCCACCUUUGGCUGCCCCUCUCUCUCUCCACUAAGGCCCAUAUGGCCCAUUACUUCUCCCGGGGGGUUCCGGUAACCCUCCGGCUCUCCGGUUUUCUCCGAAAUCACCCGGAACACUUCCGGUGUCCGAAUAUAGCCGUCCAAUAUAUCAAUCUUUAUGUCUCGACCAUUUCAAGACUCCUCGUCAUGUCCGUGAUCACAUCCGAUACUCCGAACUAACUUCGGUACAUCAAAACUCAUAAACUCACAAUAUAACUAUCAUCGAAACCUUAAGCGUGCGGACCCUACGGGUUCGAGAACAAUGUAGACAUGACCGAGACACGUCUCCGAUCAAUAACCAAUAGCGGAACCUGGAUGCUCAUAUUGGCUCCUACAUAUUCUACGAAGAUCUUUAUCGGUCAGACCGCAUAACAACAUACGUUGUUCCCUUUGUCAUCGGUAUGUUACUUGCCCGAGAUUCGAUCGUCGGUAUCUCAAUACCUAGUUCAAUCUCGUUACCGGCAAGUCUCUUUACUCGUUCCGUAAUACAUCAUCUCGCAACUAACUCAUUAGUUGCAAUGCUUGCAAGGCUUAUGUGAUGUGCAUUACCGAGAGGGCCCAGAGAUACCUCUCCGACAAUCGGAGUGACAAAUCGUAAUCUCGAAAUACGCCAACCCAACAUCUACCUUUGGAGACACCUGUAGAGUACCUUUAUAAUCACCCAUUUACGUUGUGACGUUUGGUAGCACACAAAGUGUUCCUCCGGCAAAUGGGAGUUGCAUAAUCUCAUAGUCAUAGGAACAUGUAUAAGUUAUGAAGGAAGCAAUAGCAACAUACUAAACGAUCGGGUGCUAAGCUAAUGGAAUGGGUCAUGUCAAUCAGAUCAUUCACCUAAUGAUGUGAUCCCGUUAAUCAAAUAACAACUCUUUGUUCAUGGUUAGGAAACAUAACCAUUUUUGAUUAACGAGCUAGUCAAGUAGAGGCAUACUAGUGACACUCGGUUUGUCUAUGUAUUCACACAUGUAUUAUGUUUCUAGUUAAUACAAUUCUAGCAUGAAUAAUAAACAUUUAUCAUGAUAUAAGGAAAUAAAUAAUAACUUUAUUAUUGCCUCUAGGGCAUAUUUCCUUCAUGUGGCUCAUAAGAUCUGUUGACAGUUGGGUCUCAGUGAGUCAAAAUUGUCGUUGACGAGCCUAAGACAACGAGGUAGGCCCUGGAAUGUCGGUAAUAAUGCUUUUCUUUUGAGAUUUUUCAAUGUUGCGUUUUUCUCUGGCAUGCUACAAUCCUGUGUUUAUUUUUAAACACACACAUGCGGCAUGUGACUAUGACUUUGAGCUUCAAUUACAAAGGUUGGGUUCGUGCUACACAGUUGUUUGUAAGGUUGUGGCAUGAGUUGUUUUUUGUGUUGCAUACGUUGCGAUCAAUUCUCUCAAAGAUCAAUUGGAACUAGCGGUGAUUUUGUUACACACUCCAAUGUGUUUGAAAUAUUGCUAGGUGUUAGUAAUUUUGCAUGUCUAUUCACUCUGCAAUGAAAAAAAAUAUUUAUAAUAAUUACAAAAAGGCCUUGUUUUAGAGGAACCACGAAAAGAAGCCUACCGGCUGAUGUGAAUAUCCUAUUUAGUGCUAAAGGCGCCGAGUAAUCGAUAUUCGUACAAAACGCACACCCUAUUGUGUUUUUCCUGUUUACUGAACCUUCUGGAAAGUUCUGCCUGUCUUUUUUACUUUUCCUUUUCUUGUUUUUAAUAUCUUGUUCAUUUCAUAUAUCAUCGAUAACGACAAAGUACUGUCAUUCAAUAUUAUUCAUUUUAAGCAUUGCCGUAAGUGUGAUGACCGACACUAGCAAUUCAUUUGAUAUAUGCAAGCAAAUACAUAAUUGUUUCCUACUUUAAUUUUGUAGUAAUUGUUCUCUUGCAUCAAUCAAGCUUGUGGCUUGAUGAGGAGAGGGUCCGCGUCUUGGCAGAGCGUUUUAACGUGUUGCGUGUGUCAUGUCUGUGUUUUCGGGCUGAUGUGUUUGCUUUUCGGUUGAGUUUUAUGCGCAGAGCAAAACUAUCUUCUAAUUCUUUGGAGAUAUAGUUUACCUAACAGGUGCCUUUUCUGAUUUCUCAAAGUUCCGUCUUACUUCACCUUUCAGCUGUUGAGUUUUCUUUGUGCCUAUAUUGUGCUUUGCCCCCCCUCAAACUAUGGUUAUUCUUUUUUGUUGGACACCCACUGAUUCUUCCAUGUUUGUCAUAGGCAGGGGCGUGUGCAGAGCACCACUGAUUCUUCCAUGUUUGUCAUAGGCAGGGGAUCGCCUGUUGUCGUUGCUCAACACGCGCCGUUGUAGUUGGAUGCACCUUGCUUAUUGACCUGUGCUGGGAGGUCCUUCCAUCCGGGCAUCCGGCACGGUUCUCCACCUACGACCGAUGGAGGGCAAGCUCCUGUUCAUCCUCAGAGCUCCAAGAAUGUAGAGACCGGUGAAUCACUGAUGAAAAACCGGAUUUUUGAGAGAUUCUUCCAGUCUUCUUAGAUCUGGAGCUGGGGGAGUGAGAGUGUGAUCACCGGACUAUAUCUCACCAGUACCCAUCUGUCUCGCUUCUAGUGAUCGCUAGAUGGGCUGACCCAAUAUCAGCUUUUCUGAAGUGGUUUUAGGAAGGUUUCAUGACCUGUUUGGACAGGUUUUAGAAACUACUAUGUUUUUUUACCUUUUCCACUUUUCUGUGUUUCUACAUCAGUUUUUUUCUCUAAACGUCUACUUUUUCAGUACAGUGUACAUUUUUUAUAUUUUAUAAACAUUUUCUGAAAAAUGCCACGAACAUAUUUUGGAAACAUGUGAACAUAUUUUAAAAAUGUCACAUACAUUUUUUAAUUACAACGACAUUUUUCUACAUUGUAUAAAUAUUUUUAGAAACCAUCGUGAACAUUCUUUUGAAAAAUGUGACCAUUUUUAAAUUUCAUGACUCAUGCACAUUGUUUUGAAUGAUAUCAACAUUUUUUAAAAGUUUCGUGGACGUUCCUUUUACACUGCAUGAACAUUUUUUAAAUGUGCGGUGAACAUUUAUAAAAAUUAAGUAAAUUAAAUUUGUGGAAUAUUUAUAUUUAUAAAUAUAAAUAAAAGUAAAAAAUAAAAUCAAAAAUAAAUAAAAGAACCUACAAAACAAACCUAGACCGUCCUAUUGGGUUGGCCCUCUUUAGCCUCGCUUGAGGCGAGGCUAGCAUCCAACUCGUUUGAGGCGAUGUAUAGACGCGCCCGAGCGAAAGAGCUAACUAACAGUUACCCCUUUGGGGGCUCCCACAAGGGUCACUUUUAUUGCGUGAGAGCGGGUCAAGUGGUACGCCCAACCGCCACCACAUGCCGCAUGUUGGACGCUCCCACUGGCUUUUGGUCUUCUUAUUUUUCUGUAUGUGUUUUCAAGUCUUUAGAUGAUUUUUUUCUUCUUUUUUUGACUUUUCGGUUUUGCCUGGUUUUCCCUAAGUUCAGAGGGAAUUUUUGUUUUUUGGUUUUUCCUGGCUGAUGAUAGACUAGCUGUCCCCAGUGGCACAAGUUGGUUCCAUAACCAAAUUUCCUAGUCCAAAGAUUCGGUUCCGAAAAUGAAGAUCAAAAGGUUCCAAAGACUUAGUGUUUUCUGCUUCAUCACCCCCAUAUAAUGCGAAGCCAGGGUAAAAUCUAGACCGGCUCAAUAGGAUCAACAAGACCACACAUUGUAACCACAUUGUUCAUACAAGAGAGAAUACCCAGCAGGUGUAGGGUGUUACGCCUAGAAUGGGGGUCCGAACCUGGUUAAAAUCUCUAUCAUGUGAAAUUCCGCACCUUGAUCAACUAUAUGUGUAUUGCCUUCACAAAAUUCCAACUCAUGAGAAUUGCCGCGCAAUCCCCAGGACAUGGGGUAAACCCAUGAGCGGAGAAAAUAUGAAAACUUCGGUUGUGGGGCAGUAGAUCUGUAAUGUUCUAAUGGAUCCCAAAUUCGAGCUCAAACCAGGGAGUUAAUCAUGACAUCAAACAAAUAGAUUAUGUGACUCAUAAGAUCUGUUGACAGUAGGUCUCAGCGAAUCAAAAUUAUCAUUGACGAGCACAAGACAAUGAGGUAGGCCCUGGAAUGUCGAUAAUAAUGUGUUUUUUACACUUUUUCAAUAUUACAUUUUUCUUUGACAUGCUACAAGUCUGUGUUUAUUUUUAUACAUACACACAUGCGGCAUAUGACUGUGACUUUGAGCUUCAAUUACAAAGGAUGGAUUCAUGCUACAAAGUUGUUGGUAAUGUUGUGGCAUGAGUUGGUUUUUGUGUUGCACACGUUGCGAUCAAUUCUCUCAAAGAUCAAUUGGAACUAGCAGUGGUUUGUUAAACACUUCAUCGUGUUUGAAAUAUUGCUAGGUGUUAGUAAUUUUGCACGUCUAUUCACUCUGCCAUGAAAAAAUAUUUAUAAGAAUUACAAAAAGGCCUUGUUUUAGAGGAACCACGGAAAGAAGCCUACCAGUUGAUGUGAAUAUCCUAUUUAGUGCUAAAGGCACUGAGUAAUUCGACAUCCGUACAAAUGCGCACCAUAGAAGGUAACGGGUCGGCCCAAGAAUAGACUCCAAUAUUACGUUUUUCCUGUUUUCUGAACCUUCUGGAAGGUCCCACAUGUAUUUUUUUUACUUUUCCUUUUCUAGUUUUUAAUAUCUUGUUCAUUCCAUAUAUCAUCAAUAAAGUCGAAGUACCAACAGUCAAUAUUUUUCAUUUUAAGCACUGCCGUAAGUGUGAUGACCGACACUAGCAAUUCAUUUGGUAUAUGCAAACAAAUACAUAAUUGUUUCCUACUUAAAUUUUGUAGUAAUUGUUCUUUUGCAUCACUCAAGCUUGUGGCUCGCUGAGGAGAGGGUCCGUGUCUCGGCAGAGCGUUUUAACGUGUUGCAUGUGUCAUGUCGGUGUUGUCGGACUGAUGUGUUUGUUUUUCGGACGAGUUAUAUGCGCGGAAGAAAACAAUCUUGUAACUCUUUGGAGACAUAGUUUACCUAACAUGUGCCUUUUCUGAUUUCUCAAAGUUUCGCCUUACUUCACCUUUUAGCUGUUGAGUGUUUUGCCUAUAUUUUUCACUUCUGUUUUCAAACUCUGGUUUUUCUUUUCUGUGGAUAACAAUUUCAUCCAUGUUGGAUACCCUCUCGUUCUUCCAUGUUUGUCAAAGCCUGGGGCGUGUGCUGAGCACCACUGUUGGGGUGGUGGCGGGGAUCGCCUGUUGGCGUUGCUCAACAUGCGCCGGUGCGAGUUGGAUGCGUCUUGCUUAGAGCAUCUUCAGCUGUUGGCCUCACAGGAGGGGUCAAAAAUCGCCUUUUGGGGGCGCACCGGCGUUAAACCGCGCACUGGGGCGUGAUGCCCCAGUCGCGGCGUCCACGUUUUUUUGAAAAAGUCAAAUACGGCGCAAACACGGCUCAAAUUUAACGUAAACAUCGGCGAGUUCGUUCAAAUUUAAACAUAUUUUACAAAAGAAGAAAAAAAC
Molecule: long non-coding RNA, 33497 nt
Filed under: Triticum aestivum (bread wheat)
Lineage: Eukaryota; Viridiplantae; Streptophyta; Magnoliopsida; Poales; Poaceae
Description: long non-coding RNA (TAES_LNC026999)
Source: RNAcentral